RNAcentral lists this ribosomal RNA (402 nucleotides) under uncultured prokaryote. RNAcentral describes it as "bacterial SSU rRNA". It matches the Rfam family "Bacterial small subunit ribosomal RNA", at positions 355 to 774 of the family's 1533-position model. The record is from RNAcentral.
UAGGGAAUAUUAGAAAUGGACGAAAGUCUGAUCUAGCAACACCGCGUGUGAGAAGAAGGCAUUCGGGUUGUAAAGCACUUUUUGGAAGGAUUAGGAAGGAAUGUACUUCCAGAAUAAGUCUCGGCUAACUACGUGCCAGCAGCCGCGGUAACACGUAGGAGGCAAACGUUAUCAGGAUUUACUGGGCGUAAAGCGCGUGUAGGUGGUUCUGUAAGUAGGGCGUGAAAGCUCCUGGCUCAACUGGGAGAGGCCGUUCUAAACUGCAGAGCUAGAGGAUGGUAGAGGGAGGGGGAAUUCCGGGUGUAGCGGUGGAAUGCGCAGAUAUCCGGAGGAACACCAGUGGCGAAAGCGGCCUCCUGGACCAUUCCUGACACUCAGACGCGAAAGCUAGGGUAGCAAACG